AAAAACAGUUAAAACUUUCAACAACGGAUCUCUUGGCUCUUGCAUCGAUGAAGAACGCAGCGAAAUGCGAUAAGUAAUGUGAAUUGCAGAAUUCAGUGAAUCAUCGAAUCUUUGAACGCACCUUGCGCCUUUUGGUAUUCCGAAAGGCAUGCCUGUUUGAGUGUCAUG
This 168-nucleotide ribosomal RNA is filed under the name Biatoropsis usnearum. Its description in RNAcentral is "5.8S ribosomal RNA". It matches the Rfam family "5.8S ribosomal RNA". From Rfam's summary of the family: 5.8S ribosomal RNA (5.8S rRNA) is a component of the large subunit of the eukaryotic ribosome. It is transcribed by RNA polymerase I as part of the 45S precursor that also contains 18S and 28S rRNA. Functionally, it is thought that 5.8S rRNA may be involved in ribosome translocation. The record is from RNAcentral. Lineage: Eukaryota; Fungi; Basidiomycota; Tremellomycetes; Tremellales; Tremellaceae.